RNAcentral lists this ribosomal RNA (403 nucleotides) under Verrucomicrobiota bacterium. RNAcentral's name for it is "Verrucomicrobia bacterium partial 16S ribosomal RNA". It matches the Rfam family "Bacterial small subunit ribosomal RNA", at positions 355 to 776 of the family's 1533-position model. The record is from RNAcentral. Lineage: Bacteria; Pseudomonadati; Verrucomicrobiota.
UGGGGAAUAUUGCACAAUGGGGGAAACCCUGAUGCAGCGACGCCGCGUGAGCGAAGAAGGUUUUCGAAUCGUAAAGCUCUUUCCGAUGGGAAGAUAAUGACGGUACCAUAGGAGGAAGCCCCGGCUAACUACGUGCCAGCAGCCGCGGUAAUACGUAGGGGGCAAGCGUUGUCCGGAAUCACUGGGCGUAAAGGGUUCGCAGGCGGAAAUGCAAGUCAGUUGUGAAAGGCAGCGGCUCAACCCUUGUAAGCAAUUGAAACUGUAUUUCUUGUGAUGUGGAGAGGUAAGUGGAAUUCCUAGUGUCGCGGUGAAAUGCGUAGAUAUUAGGAAGAAUACCGGUGGCGAAGGCGACUUGCUGGACACAAACUGACGCUGAGGAACGAAAGCGUGGGUAGCAAACAGG